Molecule: long non-coding RNA, 529 nt
Organism: Apis cerana (Asiatic honeybee)
Lineage: Eukaryota; Metazoa; Arthropoda; Insecta; Hymenoptera; Apidae
Source: RefSeq, a predicted model, not a curated record
GGAAAGUGAUAGUGAGUGGACGUGUCGUCGCAGCCGGCUUCGAAAAUUCUACUACGCAAUUAUUACCCGAUUAUUGGUAUGAUUUGAAAGGCGGGAAGAAUUUCAAUAUGGACGCCAUCGUACUUUUUGAAGAAAAAGUUUGAUGUUUCAUUUUACUACAAUUAUUGUGAUCGCGCGCAAUGCGAUCGGUAGAUUCAGUGUUUGUUUCGUAACAGUUUUUUAAUAUUUUAGAGCGCGAUAGCUCUAAUUAAAUUUACUUAUUAUAAUCGGGAAAUUAGAAUCAGUGUUUAUUCGCCGAUUGUAAAUUAAACGGACGCGUUAAUAGUUUUUUAUUUUUAUUUUUUUUAUUUUUAAUAUUCGUUUUCGGUACAGAGUAGAGUCAGUGUUUCUCUAAGGAAGAAGGCAGUCAUCCAUCACGCGAAGAGAUGCCUGACUUUGCCAGUGAACAUUUCUGUUGGAUUUCAAUUUUAAAUAACGUUUUGUGACCGCGUGCAAUGCGGUCUGUAGAAUCAGUGUUUGUUCCGUAACA